This 498-nucleotide ribosomal RNA is filed under the name uncultured bacterium. RNAcentral's name for it is "partial 16S ribosomal RNA". It matches the Rfam family "Bacterial small subunit ribosomal RNA", at positions 899 to 1397 of the family's 1533-position model. The record is from RNAcentral.
ACUCAAAGGAAUUGACGGGGGCCCGCACAAGCGGAGGAACAUGUGGUUUAAUUCGAUGAUACGCGAGGAACCUUACCCGGGCUUGAAAUGCAUCUGACCGGCCUAGAAACAGGCCUUCUAGCAAUAGCAGAUGUGUAGGUGCUGCAUGGUUGUCGUCAGCUCGUGCCGUGAGGUGUCGGCUUAAGUGCCAUAACGAGCGCAACCCACAUUGUUAGUUACUAACAGGUCAAGCUGAGGACUCUGACAAGACUGCCAGCGUAAGCUGUGAGGAAGGUGUGGAUGACGUCAAAUCAGCACGGCCCUUACGUCCGGGGCGACACACGUGUUACAAUGGAUGGUACAGAGGGUCGCUACCUAGUGAUAGGAUGCCAAUCUCGAAAGCCAUUCCCAGUUCGGAUUGGAGUCUGCAACUCGACUCCAUGAAGCUGGAUUCGCUAGUAAUCGCGCAUCAGCCAUGGCGCGGUGAAUACGUUCCCGGGCCUUGUACACACCGCCCGU